Molecule: ribosomal RNA, 423 nt
Filed under: uncultured bacterium
Lineage: Bacteria
Description: bacterial SSU rRNA
Rfam family: Bacterial small subunit ribosomal RNA
Source: RNAcentral
AUCUUCCGCAAUGGACGCAAGUCUGACGGAGCAACGCCGCGUGAGUGAAGAAGGCCUUCGGGUCGUAAAACUCUGUUAUCAGGGAAGAAUCCGUGCCGGAGUAACUGCCGGUGCGUUGACGGUACCUGACCAGAAAGCCACGGCUAACUACGUGCCAGCAGCCGCGGUAAUACGUAGGUGGCAAGCGUUGUCCGGAAUUAUUGGGCGUAAAGCGCGCGCAGGCGGCUGCUUAAGUCUGAUGUGAAAGCCCACGGCUCAACCGUGGAGGGUCAUUGGAAACUGGGAGGCUUGAGUGCAGAAGAGAAGAGCGGAAUUCCACGUGUAGCGGUGAAAUGCGUAGAGAUGUGGAGGAACACCAGUGGCUAAGGCGGCUCUUUGGUCUGUAACUGACGCUGAGGCGCGAAAGCGUGGGGAGCGAACAGG